CCUACGGGCGGCAGCAGUGGGGAAUAUUGGACAAUGGGGGGAACCCUGAUCCAGCGACGCCGCGUGAGUGAAGAAGUAUUUCGGUAUGUAAAGCUCUAUCAGCAGGGAAGAAAGAAAUGACGGUACCUGACUACGAAGCUCCGGCUAACUACGUGCCAGCAGCCGCGGUAACACGUAGGGGGCAGGCGUAAUCCGGAUGUACUGGGUGUAAAGGGAGCGUAGACGGCGAUGCAAGUCUGAAGUGAAAGGCGGGGGCCCAACCCCCGGACUGCUUUGGAAACUGUAUGGCUGGAGUGCGGGAGAGGUGGGUGGAAUGCGUGGUGUAGCGGUGAAAUGCGUAGAUAUUAGAAAGAACACCAGUUGCGAAGGCGGCUUACUGGACUGUAACUGACGUUGAGGCUCGAAAGCGUGGGGAGCAAACAGGAUUAGAUACCCGGGUAGUC
RNAcentral lists this ribosomal RNA (443 nucleotides) under uncultured bacterium. Its description in RNAcentral is "partial 16S ribosomal RNA". It matches the Rfam family "Bacterial small subunit ribosomal RNA", at positions 338 to 795 of the family's 1533-position model. The record is from RNAcentral.